UGGUCCUGGCCCUGUGCUCAGUGACCGCAGGCUCUGCCUUGCUCUGGAUGAGCCCCAGCUCUGCAACGGGCACAUGGGGGGAGCCUCCCGGCGGGUUGAGAGUGGGGCAUGGGCAUACCUGAGCCCCCUGGUGCUGCGUAAGGAGCUGGAGUCGCUGGUAGAGAACGAGGGCAGUGAGGUGCUGGCGUUGCCUGAACUGCCCUCUGCCCACCCCAUCAUCUUCUGGAACCUUUUGUGGUAUUUCCAACGGCUACGCCUGCCCAGUAUUCUACCAGGCCUGGUGCUGGCCUCCUGUGAUGGGCCUUCGCACUCCCAGGCCCCAUCUCCUUGGCUAACCCCUGAUCCAGCCUCUGUUCAGGUACGGCUGCUGUGGGAUGUACUGACCCCUGACCCCAAUAGCUGCCCACCUCUCUAUGUGCUCUGGAGGGUCCACAGUGAGUCUGGUAUUUGGCCUGGGUGGGGAGGGUGGGUCCCAUACCCAGAGGGCUCAGUGAUUCUGGUGGCCUUCUUUCCUUUCAUCCAGGCCAGAUCCCCCAGCGGGUGGUAUGGCCAGGCCCUGUACCUGCAUCCCUUAGUUUGGCACUGUUGGAGUCAGUGCUGCGCCAUGUUGGACUCAAUGAAGUGCACAAGGCUGUGGGGCUCCUGCUGGAAACUCUAGGGCCCCCACCCACUGGCCUGCACCUGCAGAGGGGAAUCUACCGUGAGAUAUUAUUCCUGACAAUGGCUGCUCUGGGCAAGGACCACGUGGACAUAGUGGCCUUCGAUAAGAAGUACAAGUCUGCCUUUAACAAGCUGGCCAGCAGCAUGGGCAAGGAGGAGCUGAGGCACCGGCGGGCGCAGAUGCCCACUCCCAAGGCCAUUGACUGCCGAAAAUGUUUUGGAGCACCUCCAGAAUGCUAGAGACCUUAAGCUUCCCUCUCCAGCCUGGGGUGGGGAAGUGAGGAAGAAGGG
Molecule: small RNA, 951 nt
Filed under: Pan troglodytes (chimpanzee)
Lineage: Eukaryota; Metazoa; Chordata; Mammalia; Primates; Hominidae
Description: retained intron
Source: RNAcentral